Molecule: long non-coding RNA, 1343 nt
Organism: Cavia porcellus (domestic guinea pig)
Lineage: Eukaryota; Metazoa; Chordata; Mammalia; Rodentia; Caviidae
Exons: 2
Source: RefSeq, a predicted model, not a curated record
AGCCAGAGCUGGGCAGCAGCACGCACCCCGCCUCGGGAGAGAAGGGAAGCGCGCGCGGGAGGCUGAGGCAGGCGGCGGCGGCGCACUCACCGCGGAGCCAGCGCGCCCCGGCGUGCGCGUCCUUGGGCCGGAUGAGGCGGCGCUGCGCGUAGCUGCGGCCCACGUACCACAGCAUCCAGAGCAGCUGCAGCAGCAUGAGCGCGUUUCAAGCCCCUUAAAGACAGAAGAACAUCUGGCUCAUUCUUCUCUCUAGCACUAAGCCUGUGCUUUUUUCAACCCACUGGAAACAGCAACGUGAAACUCACAGCUUGUGUCAGGGGCACUUUGGAAAGUGCCUGUCGUUGUAACUUCCCUGGGACACUAUUCCUGUCCCCAGCACCUGCUGUGUGGCAGAGGCGCCAGCUGUGCAUCCUGCGUGAGCUCCCUUUCCAUCUGGCAGUGAGCUUCCCAGGCGGUGGCUGCACAGCUGGGACCCUACAUCCUUGUGCUCCAGAGCUGCCUGGCAGCCUGGUCCCCAGUGGCAAAUAACACCACUUUGUUGUUGUGUUUUGUUUCUUUUUUCUUUUUUUGGAGACAGAGCCUUGCUAAAUUCCUCUGGCCAGACUUGAACUUGUGAGCCUCUGCCUCAGCCUCCCAGAGCUGAGUGAUAAAUUAUACCACAUGCAACCUUUGCCUGCUCUCUGUUCUUUCUGACAAGCGAGGAAGUGUCAUUUUCUGAAUGCCAAAAGUGCUUUGGUCAAAGGACACAAGUUUUAGUUAAAGUCAAGUGAUCUGCUGUACACCACAGUGACUACAGUUAACAACCUGUGAUAUUCUUGAAAAAUACUGAUAGCAGAAGGGUUUGUGCCACACAAAAAAGUAAAGUGAAGUGAAAAUAUGCAAAUCAGCUCCAUUAACCAGUCGAUGUAUCUGCGUUUCAAAGGAUUACAUUGUACAGAAUAAACGUAUACAGUUUUGCAUACUCGUUAAAAAUCAUAAAUUACAUAAAUAAAAUGUUAAUGAAAAUACUGUCUGAUCUCUGCCGCUGGAAAGUCUCUCGAUACGAUAAGCAGAAAUCCAACUUGCAUCAUGCAAGGGUGUCAUGGUUUAUGUCUAUGUCCCCCAGGCCUCAUGAGUUUGCAUUGUUCAUUUGUGAUGGUUCAUUGUAUAGUGCCUGGAUUGAUGGUGUCAGUGCUCCACCCACAUAGGGGUGGAGCCAGCAUGUGAUGUAAUGGCAGGAAGAAGGUGUGUCUUGCUGUUUGCAGCUGCCAUGAACUGUGGUCCAGCCAUGCCCACCUGCCUUGGAGCCAACUGAGUGUGGACUGAACCUCCAAAAACUAAGAAAUAAACCUUUCCUUUCCCAA